AGUAAGGUCAGCUAAAUAAGCUUUUGGGCCCAUACCCCAAAU
This 42-nucleotide transfer RNA is filed under the name Coregonus pidschian (humpback whitefish). RNAcentral's name for it is "partial tRNA-Met". Lineage: Eukaryota; Metazoa; Chordata; Actinopteri; Salmoniformes; Salmonidae. The record is from RNAcentral.